Pelobates cultripes (western spadefoot toad) is the source of this 1373-nucleotide non-coding RNA. NCBI's taxonomy places the organism in Eukaryota, Metazoa, Chordata, Amphibia, Anura, Pelobatidae. The record is from the annotation of a GenBank genome assembly.
CAUCCAUGUCCAAAUUUUAGUUGUUCAGUUUGGUCCAGACAGGUAAAAAUUCAGUAGACAUUCGGAUCCAUUCAGAUGCUGCUUUAAUACAUUUUAGGAACAAUAUCCAGAGACAGAGAAAGUUAUUCAAAUAUAUUUGUCUGUAGCAUUCUUUAUUUCCAAGUAUGUUUGUGUAAACUCAUCGGAAAAAAAAACUUGCUCCACAUCCAAAAAAGAAGCCUUUAUAAAUUUAAGAAACUAACAAUUUUCCACUUUGCAACUGGUUGCAGUUAGUUGAAAAUGUGUAAUUUAAAAUGAUAACAAGCAACCACUAGAGGUCACAACUUCAUUGUUAUUUCAAAAAGUAUAUUGGUUUACUCACUUAGCAACAAACUACAAAAUUUAGGCACAAAUAGCUAGCCCUAGUUCAGGGAUAGGCAACCUUGGUACUACAGUUGUGGACAACAUCCCCCAUAAUGCUCUUACACACAUAAUGCUGGCAAAGCAUCAAGGGAGGUGUAGUCCAAAACAUCUGCAGUGAAGGUUGCCUAUGCCUGCCCUAGUCGAUAACUGAGCUGGAUAGAUCUCCCAAAUCAUACCUUUUUGCCUAACCUUUGCUAAUCAGUUUUCAAAAGUUUAGUAAAUAAAUCUAUUAAGUGCGAGUAAUACUUCUCAGGGGAAUCAAAACACCAGGAACAUUUCCUAUGACCACUCCUGGCAACACAACCACUACUGUGGACAGUAAUAAUAAUAAUAAUAAUAAUAAUAUGGUGUUUGGAGUGUCCAUUGAUGGGGGGGGGUAAUUCGAAAAAGUAAGAAAUUAUUAGGCAACUUCAGGUAUCAUAACAAGUUCUUUGAAAUCGAGUAGGUGUAGGUGUGAUGUCCUGUAGUCACUUAGUUUCCAUCCAGCUCACAUAUUUUCCUAAAAGUUGCAAAUCCCUGGAUACAUUAUGUUUAAUAAAUACAAAAGUGCAAACCAAAUAGCAAAAUGGAGGCAAGAAGUAGCUGAAUGGAGGACAUUCACCAGCUCACCUAUAGUCCCAGUUUGAUGAUUACAUUUUACAAUCUGGCUUUCCUUUCAUUUUACAGUUUACUGAUCGGGAAUCACGAUGUAGUUAAUGAUCCUGAUCGGUUGUAGAGCAGGAGUGAAUGAGUUAAGUUCUUGGAGCAGUUGCUUUCUCUUUAAGUUUGCAUACAAUGAACAAGAAAUAUGAUACCAGGUUCACAGCCAUUGAAAGCCCCAUAAAACAGCUCAGCGUACAGAACAGACUCGCAUGAAGAAAGAUUUAAAGUGACCCUGAAACAAAAAAACCAUGGUGUGCAAUGAAAUUCAAAGCUGCAAUAAAAACAACCCCCAUUCCGUGACUACUCUGACUCUUCUCCUAAGCCCUUAG